AUUGAACGCUGGCGGCAGGCCUAACACAUGCAAGUCGAGCGGUAACAGAACUAGCUUGCUAGUUGCUGACGAGCGGCGGACGGGUGAGUAACGCGUAGGAAUCUGCCCGGUAGCGGGGGAUAGCCCAGAGAAAUUUGGAUUAAUACCGCAUACGCCCUACGGGGGAAAGCAGGGGAUCUUCGGACCUUGCGCUAUCGGAUGAGCCUGCGUCGGAUUAGCUAGUUGGUGGGGUAAUGGCCUACCAAGGCGACGAUCCGUAGCUGGUCUGAGAGGAUGAUCAGCCACACCGGAACUGAGACACGGUCCGGACUCCUACGGGAGGCAGCAGUGGGGAAUAUUGCACAAUGGGCGCAAGCCUGAUGCAGCCAUGCCGCGUGUGUGAAGAAGGCCUUCGGGUUUGUAAAGCACCUUCAGUAGGAGGAAAGGUUGUAGAUUAAUACUCUGCAGCUGUGACGUUACCUACAGAAGAAGCACCGGCUAAC
This 482-nucleotide ribosomal RNA is filed under the name uncultured bacterium. RNAcentral's name for it is "bacterial SSU rRNA". It matches the Rfam family "Bacterial small subunit ribosomal RNA", at positions 30 to 501 of the family's 1533-position model. The record is from RNAcentral.